UACGGAGGGAGCUAGCGUUGUUCGGAAUUACUGGGCGUAAAGCGCGCGUAGGCGGCUUUGUAAGUUAGAGGUGAAAGCCCGGGGCUCAACCCCGGAACUGCCUUUAAGACUGCAUCGCUUGAAUCCGGGAGAGGUGAGUGGAAUUCAUGGUGUAGCAGUGAAAUGCGUAGAGAUCAUGAGGAAGACCAGUGGCGAAGGCGGGUCUCUGGACAGUUCCUGACACUGAGGCACGAAGGCCAGGGGAGCAAACGGG
Molecule: ribosomal RNA, 253 nt
Filed under: uncultured bacterium
Lineage: Bacteria
Description: partial 16S ribosomal RNA
Rfam family: Bacterial small subunit ribosomal RNA
Source: RNAcentral